GCAGGGGUCGGUGCUGCUGCAGUGGAGCAGGAGCUGAGUUUUCCAGCAGGAGCUGAGUGUUCCAGCAGGGGUCAGUGGUGCUGCAGCUGAGCAGGAGCUGAGUGUUCCAGCAGGGGUCGGUGGUGCUGCAGCUGAGCAGGAGCUGAGUGUUCCAGCAGGGGUCGGUGGUGCUGCAGUGGAGCAGGAGCUGAGUGUUCCAGCAGGGGUCGGUGGUGCUGCAGUGGCGCAGGGGCUGAGUGUUCCAGCAGGGGUCGGUGGUGCUGCAGCGGAGCAGGAGCUGAGUGUUCCAGCAGGGGUCGGUGGUGCUGCAGCUGAGCAGGAGCUGAGUGUUCCAGCAGGGGUCGGUGGUGCUGCAGUGGAGCAGGAGCUGAGUGUUCCAGCAGGAGCAAGAGCUGAGUGUUCCAGCAGGGGUCGGUGGUGCUGCAGCUGAGCAGGAGCUGAGUGUUCCAGCAGGGGGUGGUGGUGCUGAAGCGGAGCAGGAGCUGAGUGUUCCAGCAGGGUUUGGUGGUGCUGCAGUGGAGCAGGAGCUGAGUGUUCCAGCAGGGGUCGGUGGUGCUGCAGUGGAACAGGAGCUGAGUGUUCCAGCAGGGGUCGGUGGUGCUGCAGUGGAGCAGGAGCUGAGUGUUCCAGCAGGGGUCGGUGGUGCUGCAGUGGCGCAGGAGCUGAGUGUUCCAGCAGGAGCUGAUUGUUUCAGCAGGGGUCGGUGGUGCUGCAGCUGAGCUGAUAACAAAUCAAAGUUGAUUUGUCAUGUGCCCCCGAAUACAACAGGUGUAGACCUUACACUGGAAUGCUUACUUACAAGCCCUAACCAACGUUGCGAUUUUUAAGUAAAACAUAGGUUUUAGGUAAACAAUAGAUAAGUAAAGAAAGAAAACACAGAAAAUAACAGUAACAAAGCUUUUAUACAGGUGGUACUGGUACAGAGUCAAUGUGUG
This is a long non-coding RNA of Oncorhynchus tshawytscha (Chinook salmon), 935 nucleotides long. NCBI's taxonomy places the organism in Eukaryota, Metazoa, Chordata, Actinopteri, Salmoniformes, Salmonidae. The record is from Ensembl.